AGCUAUGAUGAAAAUGGUUUCACUUCUUUCCUUGUCCGAUUCGACUAUGACGAUAGGAAGCUAAUGAGUUUUACUCACACUCCAUGGUUUUCAAAGUUUAGAUAUCUUGUUAUCUGAAUGGUUUGGACCUUUCUUGCCAUUGUUACAACAACAAUUGUCUCUGAGCU
RNAcentral lists this small nucleolar RNA (167 nucleotides) under Hanseniaspora valbyensis NRRL Y-1626. Its description in RNAcentral is "Small nucleolar RNA snR190". It matches the Rfam family "Small nucleolar RNA snR190". Lineage: Eukaryota; Fungi; Ascomycota; Saccharomycetes; Saccharomycodales; Saccharomycodaceae. The record is from Rfam by way of RNAcentral.